AUUCCGUAGGUGAACCUGCGGAAGGAUCAUUCAUAAUAAAGUGUUUUAUGGCACUUUUUAAAAAUCCAUAUCCACCUUGUGUGCAAUGUUAGAUCUCGUCAAUCUUGGCGAGAUUUUUAUACAUCAACUCAUUCUUUAACUAAUUUGUCUGAAAAAUAUUAUGAAUACUUAAUUCAAAAUACAACUUUCAACAACGGAUCUCUUGGCUCUC
Molecule: unclassified non-coding RNA, 211 nt
Filed under: plant metagenome
Description: partial contains small subunit ribosomal RNA, internal transcribed spacer 1, and 5.8S ribosomal RNA
Source: RNAcentral